CCUACGGGGUGCAGCAGUCGAGAAUCAUUCACAAUGGGGGAAACCCUGAUGGUGCGACGCCGCGUGGGGGAAUGAAGGUCUUCGGAUUGUAAACCCCUGUCAUGUGGGAGCAAAUUAAAAAGAUAGUACCACAAGAGGAAGAGACGGCUAACUCUGUGCCAGCAGCCGCGGUAAUACAGAGGUCUCAAGCGUUGUUCGGAAUCACUGGGCGUAAAGCGUGCGUAGGCUGUUUCGUAAGUCGUGUGUGAAAGGCGCGGGCUCAACCCGCGGACGGCACAUGAUACUGCGAGACUAGAGUAAGGGAGGGGGAACCGGAAUGCUCGGUGUAGCAGUGAAAUGCGUAGAUAUCGAGAGGAACACUCGUGGCGAAGGCGGGUUCCUGGACAUUAACUGACGCUGAGGCACGAAGGCCAGGGGAGCGAAAGGGAUUAGAUACCCCAGUAGUC
This 446-nucleotide ribosomal RNA is filed under the name uncultured bacterium. Its description in RNAcentral is "partial 16S ribosomal RNA". It matches the Rfam family "Bacterial small subunit ribosomal RNA", at positions 338 to 795 of the family's 1533-position model. The record is from RNAcentral.